RNAcentral lists this ribosomal RNA (470 nucleotides) under uncultured bacterium. Its description in RNAcentral is "bacterial SSU rRNA". It matches the Rfam family "Bacterial small subunit ribosomal RNA", at positions 28 to 507 of the family's 1533-position model. The record is from RNAcentral.
GAUGAACGCUGGCGGCGUGCCUAAUACAUGCAAGUCGAACGGAGAGUGUUAGCUUCGGUUGAUAACUCUUAGUGGCGAACGGGUGAGUAACGCGUUGGUGACCUGCCCCGAAGACGGGGGAUAACAGCUCGAAAGGGCUGCUAAUACCCCAUGUGGUGCUAGAGGUUAGAGGCUCUAGCAAGAAAGGAGCAAUCCGCUUCGGGAGGGGCCUGCGUCCCAUCAGCUAGUUGGUAGGGUAAAGGCCUACCAAGGCGAAGACGGGUAGGGGGCCUGAGAGGGUGAACCCCCCACAAUGGAACUGAAACACGGUCCAUACACCUACGGGUGGCAGCAGUAGGGAAUAUUGCACAAUGGGCGAAAGCCUGAUGCAGCAACGCCGCGUGUGCGAUGAAGGCCUUCGGGUUGUAAAGCACUUUUCGGGGAGAUGAGGAAGGACAGUAUCCCCGGAAUAAGGCUCGGCUAACUACGUG